CAGAGUUGCAAAACUCCCACAAACCAUCGCGAAUCUUACCCGUACGGUUGCCCUCGGCGCUGGCGGUCCGGAAGGCCCUCGGGCCCCCCGGAUCCCUCGGGUCUCCCGCUCGCGGGAGGCUGCCCGCCGGAGUGCCGAAACCAAACUCUUGAUAUUUUAUGUCUCUCUGAGUAAACUUUUAAAUAAGUCA
This 190-nucleotide unclassified non-coding RNA is filed under the name soil metagenome. Its description in RNAcentral is "partial internal transcribed spacer 1". The record is from RNAcentral.